UCAGGAACUGUUUGACUCCCAGUGACCUCUAGUGGUGAAAUGUAGGUAUUCACAACCAUCAAGUUACAGCUCUUCCUCUGAAAACGCUGUACCGCUGAGUUUCACUGCAUUCUGAAUGAAAAGCCCAGUGCCUGAUGCUGACAGCCACCUGCACUAACAGCUGUUCAUCUGUUGGGAUCCUUAUCUUAACCCACCACUUUAAGAAGAGCAGGCAAGCUCCACUUGGUGCCUUGUUGGAGCCUCCAGUACAAUGCUGAAUACAAAUGGCUGAUCAGAGUCCAGGACCGCAGAGGACGAUGGAGUCAACCAACCAAAAAUCACAUGGCUGCUGUAUUAGGGUGAAAAGGUAAAUUGGAGCCUAGAGAAGCAACCAACUGGUGUAACCCAGGCAAGAUGGCAGCCCAUGCAACCUGACAAGACAUAUGAUGCAAACAACCAGAAAGUCAAGAGAAAAAAUGUCUUUUAAUUCUUCAAAUGCAGAUCUGCAUUCACAAUAAAAUAAAGGAAACCCCCUAGGGAACAAAAAAAGAAGAAAAUGGGAACCCAGAGAGGGAAGCAAGAACUAACACUUGACCAUAGGAGGCCUUGUACAGGUUCCAAAGUGUUUGGCUUUUGUGGUCACUUGGAUCAGGAGACAAGGCCUUGAGACCAGGCAAACAAGGAGACAGAUGCAACUGAAGCUUCUACUACACUCUCAUCUAGUCCAAGAAAAUAUCCACCCAAUUGUACAGGGGAGGAAGCUUGCUGGUCUGUGUGUUCACUGAAUGUUGCUUUGGCUUUUGUUUGUUUCUCAUUCUGGGACUUACUAAUCACAAGUUUGAAAAUAUUCUACUUGUGUGAUCUUGAAGUAUAUGAUCCAAUAAAUUAAAAUAA
Molecule: long non-coding RNA, 873 nt
Organism: Equus caballus (horse)
Lineage: Eukaryota; Metazoa; Chordata; Mammalia; Perissodactyla; Equidae
Source: RefSeq, a predicted model, not a curated record